RNAcentral lists this long non-coding RNA (211 nucleotides) under Mytilus galloprovincialis (Mediterranean mussel). Lineage: Eukaryota; Metazoa; Mollusca; Bivalvia; Mytilida; Mytilidae. The record is from RNAcentral.
CUGAUGUAUUGUUCAAGAAAAUAUAAAAUGAUAAAGGAAAACCUGUCAUUAUUAUCAAAGAGCACACAUUUCAUCAGUCAUUUGUUAGAAAAUAGAGAAAUAAGAUUGAGAUGAACAGCUAGGUCCUUUGUUAGAAAAUAGAGAAAUAAGAUGGAGAUGAACAGCUAGGUCCUUUGUUAGAAAAUAGAAAAAUAAGAUGGAAAUUAACAGC